UGGAGAAAAUACUGAAUCUGAUACUGACAGAAAUAAAGAACAAAAUUGUAUACAAAAAUUUUACCAUAAUUGUUUAUAAUAUCAAGCAAAUCUACAGAACAUAGGACAACUCUACAACAAGCAGGCUCCAGGCUCCAGGCUGGCAAGCUUGAAUAGUCUACACAUCAUAUAAACUUUUGACUGAAUAAAGAUUCAGAUGGAUCCAUGCUAUUUUACAGGAUUUAAGCUUUUAACAAUGAUACAAGUUCCCCAUCAUAGGGACAACAAACUAAAGACAACUACCCACCCACCAAGAGAAGAGUGCUGUGGAGAUCUCCAUCACCCACAAUAAGUCCCUGAAAUGCCUAAAUAAACUUGGGAUUCAUGUCAAAUAAAAACAAAACUCACUGGGACAUAGUACACAUUUGCAAGAGUCCAAGGCAAGACUAUCCCACCAUCUGUGUACCAUGGAAUGCUCCCAACAACUGGAGUUACCCACAACUGAGCUGCACUUGGUGCCAAUAACCAUUCAUUCUCAGAUACCCAACUCCUAAGCAAAUCAAUGCUGCAUCUGAUUACCACUAGGACAAUACUUAGUAAAAAUUAACAAAGGUGGGGAGUUCCUCAGUCUAUUACCAUUACUGGGUAGGAUACAGAUGGAGAAAUAGUACAAAAGACAGUUCAGUAUUUGGUACAGUAGAGAACACUAACCCUCACCUAUAGAAAGAGAUCAGCCAUCAAUACUUUCAAAGGAAUAAUUUCAUCACUGUAAUCAGUUUCAGGUCCCUUCAAUAAACCUUGCAUGUCACUAGGUCAUGGACCAUGCUUCUAUGAAAAGGCACAGAUCAAUGCAUCUUAUGAAAGAGCACAGAGUUGAUCAGGAAUGAAAAAAGAAAAACUUAACUGACUUUGGAAUCAAAUAUCUAAACUACAUCUCUGUAAAAAAGAUAGGGAGACUGAAAGAAAUUUAAUUGGAAAACAUUCUAUACAACAUGGACAACCAAGGUCAUGUGACCUUAACAUAAUUCCUCCUAUCAAAUCGUAAUCUAAAAGCUUAAACACCUGAUGCGUUGAGGCUCCUACACACAUUAUGAACAAAUGGUUCCCAGCCUUUUUUAGGAGAUUAGUACAAUGCCAUGUUAACCUUCACAUUAUCAUCCAAACAUCAAUUUAAAAAGCUAAAUACUUAUCAAGUGAAUUUACACAUGCUUCAACACUCAAAUGCAGAAUCCUGCACACAAACUUGACAUGCCUUUGACAACUUUUUUAUUGUCAUAUAAGAGAAAUAAUAAAUCACCACCUCAUUUCCUUCCCUCUUACGAGUAUGUUGCUUAGUGUUUUGAGAACAUGCUGCCAUACAUACAUAGCACAACACAAGUACAAAAAUUAAGAGUGAAACAUUGUGAAAACAAGGAAUAAAUAUGUUUCAUGUGACAGCAUAGGAAGUGAAGCACAAGAAGUACAAGUGGCUAGGUGUACAGGCCACACACCUACCUGGCUUGGUCUCAGGUUCAACACCCGGGCUUGGCGGGGCACGGCGGCCAUGCCUGCUGCUAAUGACCUGGCCUGUACCUGGUUGAUUCGGGCUUCAUCCUCAGCCGUCAAAAGCUUGUUGUUGAUAAUUCUGUGCCAUCACCAGGGAAUGGAACAGAAGGGAAGGGGAGGUGAAGAGAAAAAAGACAGUGGGUAAGGAUAUAAGAACUUCUGAAAAUAUGCAAUAAAGGGAGAAUGGAAAAAGGAAGAUGAAAAUGAAAUUUAGGAGAUUACAAGGAGGUUGGUGGGUUCCCCUUGUUACUAAUACUGUACAUACUGUAUAUGGAUGAAUAAAGCUACAAAAUAUC
Molecule: long non-coding RNA, 1820 nt
Organism: Scylla paramamosain (green mud crab)
Lineage: Eukaryota; Metazoa; Arthropoda; Malacostraca; Decapoda; Portunidae
Exons: 2
Source: RefSeq, a predicted model, not a curated record